Molecule: ribosomal RNA, 468 nt
Filed under: uncultured bacterium
Lineage: Bacteria
Description: partial 16S ribosomal RNA
Rfam family: Bacterial small subunit ribosomal RNA
Source: RNAcentral
GACGAACGCUGGCGGCGUGCUUAACACAUGCAAGUCGAACGGAAAGGCCCUGCUUUUGUGGGGUGCUCGAGUGGCGAACGGGUGAGUAACACGUGAGUAACCUGCCCUUGACUUUGGGGUAGCUUCAGGAAACUGGGGCUAAUACCGGAUAGCAGCUCCUGCUGCAUGGUGGGCGUUGGAAAUUUUCGGCGGUUGGGGAUGGACUCGCGGCUUAUCAGCUUGUUGGUGGGGGAGUGGCUUACCAAGGCUUUGACGGGUAGCCGGCAUGAGAGGGUGACCGGCCACAUUGGGACUGAGAUACGGCCCAGACUGCUACGGGAGGCAGCAGUGGGGAAUAUGGCACAAUGGGACGAAGCCUGAGGCAGCAACGCCGCGUGCGGGAUGACGGCCUUCGGGUUGUAAACCGCAUUCGCCUGUGACGCAGCGGGAGUGACGGUAAUGGGUAAAGAAGCACCGGCUAACUACGUG